This 468-nucleotide ribosomal RNA is filed under the name uncultured bacterium. RNAcentral describes it as "partial 16S ribosomal RNA". It matches the Rfam family "Bacterial small subunit ribosomal RNA", at positions 28 to 507 of the family's 1533-position model. The record is from RNAcentral.
GACGAACGCUGGCGGCGUGCUUAACACAUGCAAGUCGAACGGAAAGGCCCUGCUUUUGUCGGGUGCUCGAGUGGCGAACGGGUGAGUAACACGUGAGUAACCUGCCCUUGACUUUGGGAUAACUUCAGGAAACUGGGGCUAAUACCGGAUAGGAGCUCCUGCUGCAUGGUGGGCGUUGGAAAGUUUCGGCGGUUGGGGCUGGACUGGCGGCUUACCAGCUUGUUGGUGGGGGAGUGGCCUACCCAGGCUUUGACGGGUAGCCGGCCUGGGAGGGGGGACACGGACCAUGGGACUGAGAGACGGAGCAGACUGCUACGGGAGGCAGCAGUGGGGAAUCUUGUACAAUGGGGGGGAGUCUGAGGCAGAAGCGUCGCGUGCGGGAAGACGGCCUUCGGGUGGUAAACGGCAUUCGCCUGUGACGAAGCGUGAGUGACGGUAAUGGGUAAAGAAGCACCGGCUAACUACGUG